RNAcentral lists this ribosomal RNA (443 nucleotides) under uncultured bacterium. RNAcentral describes it as "partial 16S ribosomal RNA". It matches the Rfam family "Bacterial small subunit ribosomal RNA", at positions 338 to 795 of the family's 1533-position model. The record is from RNAcentral.
CCUACGGGAGGCAGCAGUGGGGAAUAUUGGACAAUGGGGGGAACCCUGAUCCAGCGACGCCGCGUGAGUGAAGAAGUAUUUCGGUAUGUAUAGCUCUAUCAGCAGGGAAGAAAGAAAUGACGGUACCUGACUAAGAAGCCCCGGCUAACUACGUGCCAGCAGCCGCGGUACUACGUAGGGGGCAAGCGUUAUCCGGAUGUACUGGGUGUAAAGGGAGCGUAGACGGUUACGCAAGUCUGGAGUGAAAGGCGGGGGCCCAACCCCCGGACUGCUUUGGAAACUGUGUAACUGGAGUGCAGGAGGGGUAGGUGGAAUGCCUGGUGUAGCGGUGAAAUGCGUAGAUAUUAGGAGGAACACCGGUGGCGAAGGCGGCUUGCUGGACUGUAACUGACGUUGAGGCUCGAAAGCGUGGGGAGCAAACAGGAUUAGAUACCCUAGUAGUC